GCUCUGGUGGCACAGUGGUUAAGCCUUUGGUUGAUAACCAAAAAGUUGGUGGUUCGAACCCACCAGGAGCU
This 71-nucleotide transfer RNA is filed under the name Loxodonta africana (African savanna elephant). It matches the Rfam family "tRNA". From Rfam's summary of the family: Transfer RNA (tRNA) molecules are approximately 80 nucleotides in length. Their secondary structure includes four short double-helical elements and three loops (D, anti-codon, and T loops). Lineage: Eukaryota; Metazoa; Chordata; Mammalia; Proboscidea; Elephantidae. The record is from Rfam by way of RNAcentral.